Molecule: ribosomal RNA, 253 nt
Filed under: uncultured bacterium
Lineage: Bacteria
Description: partial 16S ribosomal RNA
Rfam family: Bacterial small subunit ribosomal RNA
Source: RNAcentral
UACGUAGGGUGCGAGCGUUAAUCGGAAUUACUGGGCGUAAAGCGUGCGCAGGCGGUUUGAUAAGCCAGAUGUGAAAUCCCCGAGCUCAACUUGGGAACGGCGUUUGGAACUGUCAGACUAGAGUGCGUCAGAGGGGGGUGGAAUUCCGCGUGUAGCAGUGAAAUGCGUAGAGAUGCGGAGGAACACCGAUGGCGAAGGCAGCCCCCUGGGAUGACACUGACGCUCAGGCACGAAAGCGUGGGGAGCAAACAGG